UGGAUUGAGAGCUCUGGAAACUGAGUUUAUCCACUGAACAGGUACAGUACAGACAGGGUAGGGCAGGCUACCCCAGCACUGCCCCUACUAAUGUGCUUCCGUCUUUUCAUAGAGGGAUUGCUCAUAGGAGAGAUUGGGUAAUUCAGUCCAGGAGUCUAACAUUCCAUACUUGGUCAUU
Molecule: small RNA, 178 nt
Filed under: Chelonoidis abingdonii (Abingdon island giant tortoise)
Lineage: Eukaryota; Metazoa; Chordata; Testudines; Testudinidae
Description: TUC338 (ENSCABG00000013968.1)
Source: RNAcentral